This 253-nucleotide ribosomal RNA is filed under the name uncultured bacterium. RNAcentral describes it as "partial 16S ribosomal RNA". It matches the Rfam family "Bacterial small subunit ribosomal RNA", at positions 524 to 776 of the family's 1533-position model. The record is from RNAcentral.
UACGUAGGGGGCAAGCGUUAUCCGGAAUUACUGGGUGUAAAGGGUUCGUAGGUGGUAAUAUAAGUCAGAAGUUAAAGACCUUGGCUCAACCAAGGGAGUGCUUUUGAAACUGUAUAACUAGAGUGCAGGAGAGGUAAGCGGAAUUCCUAGUGUAGUGGUGAAAUGCGUAGAUAUUAGGAGGAACACCGAUGGCGAAGGCAGCUUACUGGACUGUGACUGACACUGAGGAACGAAAGCGUGGGUAGCAAACAGG